CACAGGGAUGUAAUGUUUUCCAGGCUUCAUGUGUGUGUAGAAGUGCUCAUAGUAUGGAGACUUCUGUUUCAGGACCAGACUGUUGCCCAGCAUCAGAUGUGAUGCUGUGUCUACCAAACUGCUCAUUUGUGGGAGGGAAAGAUGAUUCAGAGGAUACCAGAGCCUUUCUCACAUUGAAGAAGUCAAAGAAGCCAAUCAGUGGUGCUUUGCCGAGCUCCUUCUCCUGCUGCCGGAAGAAGAAGUACGCUGUGAUCCCGGCGUCCAGCAGCUGAGGGUUGUCUUUGGACAGGGUGACCAGGUGGAGGCGCUCUUCCCGACUGUCUCGGCCUCUAAAGAAAGCCUUCUCUGUCUUAUUGGACCACACCGGGCCUGUGAAACAAAGGCUCAUAACUGUCUACACAAUUUACUGCUCCAUGUAAUAAAAGAGUUACCAUAA
Molecule: long non-coding RNA, 436 nt
Organism: Alosa sapidissima (American shad)
Lineage: Eukaryota; Metazoa; Chordata; Actinopteri; Clupeiformes; Clupeidae
Exons: 2
Source: RefSeq, a predicted model, not a curated record